RNAcentral lists this ribosomal RNA (450 nucleotides) under uncultured bacterium. RNAcentral describes it as "bacterial SSU rRNA". It matches the Rfam family "Bacterial small subunit ribosomal RNA", at positions 355 to 825 of the family's 1533-position model. The record is from RNAcentral.
UCAAGAAACUUCCACAAUGGGCGAAAGCCUGAUGGAGCGACGUCGCGUGAUGGACGAAGUGCUUCGGCACGUAAACAUAUUUUAUGUGGGAUGAAAUUAUUGACAGUACCACAUGAAUAAGGGGCUCCUAACUCUGUGCCAGCAGGAGCGGUAAUACAGAGGCCCCAAGCGUUAUCCGGAAUCACUGGGCGUAAAGGGUGUCGAGGCGGUUGUAUUAGUCGUUCGUAAAAUCUACGAGCUUAACUUGUAGGCGGCGAACGAAACGGUACGACUUGAGGUUUGGAGAGGUGCGUGGAACUCACGGUGUAGGGGUGAAAUCCGUUGAUAUCGUGGGGAACACCAAAGGCGAAGGCAGCGCACUGGCCAAAAUCUGACGCUCACACACGAAAGCUAGGGUAGCGAAGAGGAUUAGAUACCCUCGUAGUCCCUGAGCGGGCUGGCAAGGCGCAU